This 1409-nucleotide ribosomal RNA is filed under the name Pseudomonas sp. LAMO17WK12:I9. RNAcentral's name for it is "bacterial LSU rRNA". It matches the Rfam family "Bacterial large subunit ribosomal RNA", at positions 1580 to 2925 of the family's 2925-position model. Lineage: Bacteria; Pseudomonadati; Pseudomonadota; Gammaproteobacteria; Pseudomonadales; Pseudomonadaceae. The record is from RNAcentral.
AGGUGACGAAGUGGUUGAUGCCAUGCUUCCAAGAAAAGCUUCUAAGCUUCAGAUAACUAGGAACCGUACCCCAAACCGACACAGGUGGUUGGGUAGAGAAUACCAAGGCGCUUGAGAGAACUCGGGUGAAGGAACUAGGCAAAAUGGCACCGUAACUUCGGGAGAAGGUGCGCCGGUGAGGGUGAAGGACUUGCUCCGUAAGCCCAUGCCGGUCGAAGAUACCAGGCCGCUGCGACUGUUUAUUAAAAACACAGCACUCUGCAAACACGAAAGUGGACGUAUAGGGUGUGACGCCUGCCCGGUGCCGGAAGGUUAAUUGAUGGGGUUAGCUAACGCGAAGCUCUUGAUCGAAGCCCCGGUAAACGGCGGCCGUAACUAUAACGGUCCUAAGGUAGCGAAAUUCCUUGUCGGGUAAGUUCCGACCUGCACGAAUGGCGUAACGAUGGCGGCGCUGUCUCCACCCGAGACUCAGUGAAAUUGAAAUCGCUGUGAAGAUGCAGUGUAUCCGCGGCUAGACGGAAAGACCCCGUGAACCUUUACUAUAGCUUUGCACUGGACUUUGAAUUUGCUUGUGUAGGAUAGGUGGGAGGCUUUGAAGCGUGGACGCCAGUUCGCGUGGAGCCAUCCUUGAAAUACCACCCUGGCAACUUUGAGGUUCUAACUCAGGUCCGUUAUCCGGAUCGAGGACAGUGUAUGGUGGGUAGUUUGACUGGGGCGGUCUCCUCCUAAAGAGUAACGGAGGAGUACGAAGGUGCGCUCAGACCGGUCGGAAAUCGGUCGUAGAGUAUAAAGGCAAAAGCGCGCUUGACUGCGAGACAGACACGUCGAGCAGGUACGAAAGUAGGUCUUAGUGAUCCGGUGGUUCUGUAUGGAAGGGCCAUCGCUCAACGGAUAAAAGGUACUCCGGGGAUAACAGGCUGAUACCGCCCAAGAGUUCAUAUCGACGGCGGUGUUUGGCACCUCGAUGUCGGCUCAUCACAUCCUGGGGCUGAAGCCGGUCCCAAGGGUAUGGCUGUUCGCCAUUUAAAGUGGUACGCGAGCUGGGUUUAGAACGUCGUGAGACAGUUCGGUCCCUAUCUGCCGUGGACGUUUGAGAUUUGAGAGGGGCUGCUCCUAGUACGAGAGGACCGGAGUGGACGAACCUCUGGUGUUCCGGUUGUCACGCCAGUGGCAUUGCCGGGUAGCUAUGUUCGGAAAAGAUAACCGCUGAAAGCAUCUAAGCGGGAAACUUGCCUCAAGAUGAGAUCUCACUGGAACCUUGAGUUCCCUGAAGGGCCGUCGAAGACUACGACGUUGAUAGGUUGGGUGUGUAAGCGCUGUGAGGCGUUGAGCUAACCAAUACUAAUUGCCCGUGAGGCUUGACCAUAUAACACCCAAGCAAUUUGCGCUUAACAGCCAGAUUGCGGUGU